GUCAGUCGGGCGCUCCCGACCGUCGGUCGGUCGGUACGUCGUCGGUCAGCCGGGCAACCGGUCGGGAUGCCAGUCGGUCGGUCGGUCGGUCGGUCGGUAUCCCCCAACAGUUGCCCCCCUCCACUCCUAAGUCGGACGGUGAGCUGGCGACUAGGAGUGGAUUUGUCGUACGCGAGGAUCCGACCGUACCGUCGGUUGAUACGGUGUCAGGCGCCUCAUAAAUGUCGAGAGGCUUGCUGGCGUCCGUCGCCUAGUCGGCGUCAGACGUCUAGUCCUAUCAGCAUCAGUUGUCAAGUCGGCGCCGGAUGCUCCGUCGUGUCGGAU
RNAcentral lists this long non-coding RNA (324 nucleotides) under Elaeis guineensis (African oil palm). RNAcentral describes it as "long non-coding RNA (EGUI_LNC023614)". Lineage: Eukaryota; Viridiplantae; Streptophyta; Magnoliopsida; Arecales; Arecaceae. The record is from RNAcentral.